ACCAUUUAUCCAGGAAUUGCUGCUGGCAACUGUUUUCAUUUUCUUUCUUUCAUAUUACUUCGUUUGGGAGAGUUUGAAUUCUAACAGUUUCCUGGCCUCUGAUUAAAAAAGGAGCAGACUGUUGGUUUUGUAAAUAGGAUUCCAGUAUAGUUUAAGUAUAUAAAGUAUAGAACAGAACAUAACAAGGAAUAGUAAAACUAUUUCUCUUUGAAUAUUUGUUGUUCUCAUAUAUUUUCUUCUUCUUAAAACUUAUCCAAUUAUAAUAAGAGAAUACAAACCAUCAUACAUGAAUUAAAAUAGAUACAUCUCUUCAGAUCAAUGAAUCACAUUAAUGUAUUCUCACAUAUUGAAUGCAGCCUUCUAGAAUAUUACUGGAAACUAAAGAGUUUAGUUUAUUUAACACAGACUGAGAGGACUUUCAGAUGGGGGUAAACGAGAAUGGUUCCUCUUAAUUCUCUGGAGACCCUCCCCUUGAAAACAUAGAUUAAUCCUCUUCUUUGUACCCUUCCCAGUCUAGGAUCUCGUUGCAUGCAGUAGGUUUGUUUAACUGAACCUAUGUUCUAUGUUCAGUUGCUUGUUACUGGGUUGAGGCUUGCUGCUUAUGUUCUACCCUUCCUCUUGUUGGAGGUUUGGGUUAUUAAUAAAUUUGUGCUUACCCUUUCUCUUCUCUGUCCAGAAUCUUAGCACAAGGAGCCUUCCUGGAGACAUUCAUGACCUACUUACCGUAACAACGAAGAUCAUAUUUCUAUAGCCAAUAAAAUGUGCCUCCGAAUCCGGGGUCAACAACCUACUGGACGUGCUAAUAAUUUCAAAAAAAAAAGGCCAAUUCUAACCGAUCAUCAAUUCUUUUCUUUUGUCGAUGAUCGACCUGAUACGCCCCUUUCUCCUGUGGAGACCGAGCUGUCUGCACCAGACGCAGCUUCACAUUUCGAUUUGCACUUUUUUGACUUUUUACUCACAAGUUGUUUUACUCCUACUGCAAUAGUUGUGGCCGUCAUAACAAGGAGUAACAUGUAUACCUUCUCGGAUCAGGUAAGGCUCUGGUCACCCUGCUACGACCAACGUCUACAGCGGGCACAGGGAGUUAAUUUACAACCCAAGUGCUGCCUAAUCUGUUGAUACUCCAGAUGGUCAAGAUAAAGAGAUUAAUGAUUUACUAGUGUCUCGGGUAAAGACAGCCACAGGGCGGGAAAUUCAUUCCUUGCAAAGUUGGCGAUAGCCCUAGGUAUAGCUGCAACGAUUACCCUACUAUCAAUCUACCUCAAGCAGCCUCGUCAAGGACCUUCUCUUGGAAUUCAAUAUCUCGUUAAGGAUUCAUCAUCUUCCAGUACUUUAGAUGCAAACAAUGUUUUUACAUUCAAAGCUUUCGGAUACAGAGUUAUGCUUCCACAAUCUGCUCUAGGGUAUGGUAUUUGCUACAUGACAUUAGUUUUUUUCAA
This is a long non-coding RNA of Daucus carota subsp. sativus, 1439 nucleotides long. RefSeq lists it as uncharacterized. The record is from RefSeq and is a predicted model, not a curated record. The transcript has 2 exons. NCBI's taxonomy places the organism in Eukaryota, Viridiplantae, Streptophyta, Magnoliopsida, Apiales, Apiaceae.